RNAcentral lists this ribosomal RNA (2900 nucleotides) under Klebsiella pneumoniae. RNAcentral describes it as "23S ribosomal RNA". It matches the Rfam family "Bacterial large subunit ribosomal RNA". Lineage: Bacteria; Pseudomonadati; Pseudomonadota; Gammaproteobacteria; Enterobacterales; Enterobacteriaceae. The record is from RNAcentral.
UUAAGCGACUAAGCGUACACGGUGGAUGCCCUGGCAGUCAGAGGCGAUGAAGGACGUGCUAAUCUGCGAAAAGCGUCGGUAAGGUGAUAUGAACCGUUAUAACCGGCGAUGUCCGAAUGGGGAAACCCAGUGCAAUUCGUUGCACUAUCGUUAACUGAAUACAUAGGUUAACGAGGCGAACCGGGGGAACUGAAACAUCUAAGUACCCCGAGGAAAAGAAAUCAACCGAGAUUCCCCCAGUAGCGGCGAGCGAACGGGGAGCAGCCCAGAGUCUGAAUCAGCUUGUGUGUUAGUGGAACGGUCUGGAAAGUCCGACGGUACAGGGUGAUAGUCCCGUACACCAAAAUGCACAGGUUGUGAACUCGAAGAGUAGGGCGGGACACGUGGUAUCCUGUCUGAAUAUGGGGGGACCAUCCUCCAAGGCUAAAUACUCCUGACUGACCGAUAGUGAACCAGUACCGUGAGGGAAAGGCGAAAAGAACCCCGGCGAGGGGAGUGAAAAAGAACCUGAAACCGUGUACGUACAAGCAGUGGGAGCACCUUCGGGUGUGACUGCGUACCUUUUGUAUAAUGGGUCAGCGACUUAUAUUCUGUAGCAAGGUUAACCGUAUAGGGGAGCCGCAGGGAAACCGAGUCUUAACUGGGCGUUAAGUUGCAGGGUAUAGACCCGAAACCCGGUGAUCUAGCCAUGGGCAGGUUGAAGGUUGGGUAACACUAACUGGAGGACCGAACCGACUAAUGUUGAAAAAUUAGCGGAUGACUUGUGGCUGGGGGUGAAAGGCCAAUCAAACCGGGAGAUAGCUGGUUCUCCCCGAAAGCUAUUUAGGUAGCGCCUCGUGAACUCAUCUUCGGGGGUAGAGCACUGUUUCGGCUAGGGGGUCAUCCCGACUUACCAACCCGAUGCAAACUACGAAUACCGAAGAAUGUUAUCACGGGAGACACACGGCGGGUGCUAACGUCCGUCGUGAAGAGGGAAACAACCCAGACCGCCAGCUAAGGUCCCAAAGUCAUGGUUAAGUGGGAAACGAUGUGGGAAGGCACAGACAGCCAGGAUGUUGGCUUAGAAGCAGCCAUCAUUUAAAGAAAGCGUAAUAGCUCACUGGUCGAGUCGGCCUGCGCGGAAGAUGUAACGGGGCUAAACCAUGCACCGAAGCUGCGGCAGCGACACUAUGUGUUGUUGGGUAGGGGAGCGUUCUGUAAGCCUGCGAAGGUGUGCUGUGAGGCAUGCUGGAGGUAUCAGAAGUGCGAAUGCUGACAUAAGUAACGAUAAAGCGGGUGAAAAGCCCGCUCGCCGGAAGACCAAGGGUUCCUGUCCAACGUUAAUCGGGGCAGGGUGAGUCGACCCCUAAGGCGAGGCCGAAAGGCGUAGUCGAUGGGAAACAGGUUAAUAUUCCUGUACUUGGUGUUACUGCGAAGGGGGGACGGAGAAGGCUAUGUUAGCCGGGCGACGGUUGUCCCGGUUUAAGCAUGUAGGCUGGUUGUCCAGGCAAAUCCGGAUAAUCAAGGCUGAGGUGUGAUGACGAGGCACUACGGUGCUGAAGUAACAAAUGCCCUGCUUCCAGGAAAAGCCUCUAAGCAUCAGGUAACAUCAAAUCGUACCCCAAACCGACACAGGUGGUCAGGUAGAGAAUACCAAGGCGCUUGAGAGAACUCGGGUGAAGGAACUAGGCAAAAUGGUGCCGUAACUUCGGGAGAAGGCACGCUGGUGUGUAGGUGAAGCCCCUGCGGGUGGAGCUGAGACCAGUCGAAGAUACCAGCUGGCUGCAACUGUUUAUUAAAAACACAGCACUGUGCAAACACGAAAGUGGACGUAUACGGUGUGACGCCUGCCCGGUGCCGGAAGGUUAAUUGAUGGGGUUAUCCGUAAGGAGAAGCUCUUGAUCGAAGCCCCGGUAAACGGCGGCCGUAACUAUAACGGUCCUAAGGUAGCGAAAUUCCUUGUCGGGUAAGUUCCGACCUGCACGAAUGGCGUAAUGAUGGCCAGGCUGUCUCCACCCGAGACUCAGUGAAAUUGAACUCGCUGUGAAGAUGCAGUGUACCCGCGGCAAGACGGAAAGACCCCGUGAACCUUUACUAUAGCUUGACACUGAACAUUGAGCCUUGAUGUGUAGGAUAGGUGGGAGGCUUUGAAGCGUGGACGCCAGUCUGCGUGGAGCCAACCUUGAAAUACCACCCUUUAAUGUUUGAUGUUCUAACGUUGGCCCCUUACCGGGGUUGCGGACAGUGUCUGGUGGGUAGUUUGACUGGGGCGGUCUCCUCCCAAAGCGUAACGGAGGAGCACGAAGGUUAGCUAAUCCUGGUCGGACAUCAGGAGGUUAGUGCAAUGGCAUAAGCUAGCUUGACUGCGAGCGUGACGGCGCGAGCAGGUGCGAAAGCAGGUCAUAGUGAUCCGGUGGUUCUGAAUGGAAGGGCCAUCGCUCAACGGAUAAAAGGUACUCCGGGGAUAACAGGCUGAUACCGCCCAAGAGUUCAUAUCGACGGCGGUGUUUGGCACCUCGAUGUCGGCUCAUCACAUCCUGGGGCUGAAGUAGGUCCCAAGGGUAUGGCUGUUCGCCAUUUAAAGUGGUACGCGAGCUGGGUUUAGAACGUCGUGAGACAGUUCGGUCCCUAUCUGCCGUGGGCGCUGGAGAAUUGAGGGGGGCUGCUCCUAGUACGAGAGGACCGGAGUGGACGCAUCACUGGUGUUCGGGUUGUCAUGCCAAUGGCACUGCCCGGUAGCUAAAUGCGGAAGAGAUAAGUGCUGAAAGCAUCUAAGCACGAAACUUGCCCCGAGAUGAGUUCUCCCUGAGACUUUAAGUCUCCUGAAGGAACGUUGAAGACGACGACGUUGAUAGGCCGGGUGUGUAAGCGCAGCGAUGCGUUGAGCUAACCGGUACUAAUGAACCGUGAGGCUUAACCUU